Molecule: ribosomal RNA, 427 nt
Filed under: uncultured bacterium
Lineage: Bacteria
Description: partial 16S ribosomal RNA
Rfam family: Bacterial small subunit ribosomal RNA
Source: RNAcentral
UGGGGAAUAUUGCACAAUGGGCGCAAGCCUGAUGCAGCCAUGCCGCGUGUGUGAAGAAGGCCUUCGGGUUGUAAAGCACUUUCAGCGAGGAGGAAGCGUAGUGUGUUAAUAGCACAUUGCAUUGACGUUACUCGCAGAAGAAGCACCGGCUAACUCCGUGCCAGCAGCCGCGGUAAUACGGAGGGUGCAAGCGUUAAUCGGAAUUACUGGGCGUAAAGCGCACGCAGGCGGUUUGUUAAGUCAGAUGUGAAAUCCCCGCGCUUAACGUGGGAACUGCAUUUGAAACUGGCAAGCUAGAGUCUUGUAGAGGGGGGUAGAAUUCCAGGUGUAGCGGUGAAAUGCGUAGAGAUCUGGAGGAAUACCGGUGGCGAAGGCGGCCCCCUGGACAAAGACUGACGCUCAGGUGCGAAAGCGUGGGGAGCAAACA